UAACGGCUUACCAAGGCAACGAUGGGUAGGGGUCCUGAGAGGGAGAUCCCCCACACUGGUACUGAGACACGGACCAGACUCCUACGGGAGGCAGCAGUGAGGAAUAUUGGUCAAUGGGCGCAAGCCUGAACCAGCCAUGCCGCGUAAAGGAUGACGGUCCUAUGGAUUGUAAACUGCUUUUGUACGAGAAGAAACACUCCCUCGUGAGGGAGCUUGACGGUACCGUAAGAAUAAGGAUCGGCUAACUCCGUGCCAGCAGCCGCGGUAAUACGGAGGAUCCAAGCGUUAUCCGGAAUCAUUGGGUUUAAAGGGUCCGUAGGCGGUCUUGUAAGUCAGUGGUGAAAGCCCAUCGCUCAACGGUGGAACGGCCAUUGAUACUGCAGGACUUGAAUUACUGGGAAGCAACUAGAAUAUGUAGUGUAGCGGUGAAAUGCUUAGAGAUUACAUGGAAUACCAAUUGCGAAGGCAGGUUGCUACCAAUGGAUUGACGCUGAUGGACGAAAGCGUGGGUAGCGAACAGGAUUAGAUACCCUGGUAGUCCACGCCGUAAACGAUGGAUACUAGCUGUUGGGGCGCAAGUUCUGUGGCUAAUCGAAGUG
Molecule: ribosomal RNA, 599 nt
Filed under: Flavobacterium sp. AMF2626
Lineage: Bacteria; Pseudomonadati; Bacteroidota; Flavobacteriia; Flavobacteriales; Flavobacteriaceae
Description: bacterial SSU rRNA
Rfam family: Bacterial small subunit ribosomal RNA
Source: RNAcentral